Molecule: non-coding RNA, 74 nt
Organism: Gonapodya prolifera JEL478
Lineage: Eukaryota; Fungi; Monoblepharomycota; Monoblepharidomycetes; Monoblepharidales; Gonapodyaceae
Source: the annotation of a GenBank genome assembly
GGGUCAUUAGAUCAGUGGAUAGACCGCCCGACAACGAAUCAGGGGGGUCGCAGGUUCAAUCCUUGCACGGCUCG